AUUGAACGCUGGCGGCAGGCUUAACACAUGCAAGUCGAGCGGAGAUGAGGUGCUUGCACCUUAUCUUAGCGGCGGACGGGUGAGUAAUGCUUAGGAAUCUGCCUAUUAGUGGGGGACAACAUUCCGAAAGGAAUGCUAAUACCGCAUACGUCCUAAGGGAGAAAGCAGGGGAUCUUCGGACCUUGCGCUAAUAGAUGAGCCUAAGUCGGAUUAGCUAGUUGGUGGGGUAAAGGCCUACCAAGGCGACGAUCUGUAGCGGGUCUGAGAGGAUAAUCCGCCACACUGGGACUGAGACACGGCCCAGACUCCUACGGGGGCAGCAGUGGGGAAUAUUGGACAAUGGGGGGAACCCUGAUCCAGCCAUGCCGCGUGUGUGAAGAAGGCCUUAUGGUUGUAAAGCACUUUAAGCGAGGAGGAGGCUACUGAGACUAAUACUCUUGGAUAGUGGACGUUACUCGCAGAAUAAGCACCGGCUAACUCUGUGCCAGCCGCCGCCGUAA
Molecule: ribosomal RNA, 500 nt
Filed under: uncultured bacterium
Lineage: Bacteria
Description: partial 16S ribosomal RNA
Rfam family: Bacterial small subunit ribosomal RNA
Source: RNAcentral